UACAGAGGGGGCAAGCGUUGUUCGGAAUUACUGGGCGUAAAGGGCGCGUAGGCGGCCUUCUAAGUCGAACGUGAAAUCCCCGGGCUCAACCCGGGAACUGCGUCCGAGACUGAAAGGCUUGAAUCCGGGAGAGGGAUGUGGAAUUCCAGGUGUAGCGGUGAAAUGCGUAGAUAUCGGGAGGAACACCAAUUGCGAAGGCAGCUCGCUGGGACGUCACUGACGCUGAGACGCGAAAGCGUGGGGAGCAAACAGG
This 253-nucleotide ribosomal RNA is filed under the name uncultured bacterium. RNAcentral describes it as "partial 16S ribosomal RNA". It matches the Rfam family "Bacterial small subunit ribosomal RNA", at positions 524 to 776 of the family's 1533-position model. The record is from RNAcentral.